GAUGAAGAACGCAGCGAAAUGCGAUACGUAAUGUGAAUUGCAGAAUUCAGUGAAUCAUCGAGUCUUUGAACGCACAUUGCGCCCCCUGGUAUUCCGGGGGGCAUGCCUGUCCGAGCGUCAUUUCAACCAUCAAGCCCUGGGCUUGUGUUGGGGACCUGCGGCUGCCGCAGGCCCUGAAAUGCAGUGGCGGGCUCGCAAGACACACCGAGCGUAGUAGCUUACAACCUCGCUUUGGGAGUGCUGCGGGUGCUGGCCGUAAAGCGACCUUUGCGUCUUUAGCACUAGGUUGACCUCGGAUCAGGUAGGAGGACCCGCUGAACUUAAGCAUAUCAAUAAGCGGAGGA
Molecule: unclassified non-coding RNA, 344 nt
Filed under: soil metagenome
Description: partial contains 5.8S ribosomal RNA, internal transcribed spacer 2, and large subunit ribosomal RNA
Rfam family: 5.8S ribosomal RNA (bases 1-120)
Source: RNAcentral